UACGUAGGCGGGAAAUUAAGUCAGUGGUGAAAUCCUGCAGCUCAACUGUAGAACUGUCAUUGAUACUGAUUUUCUUGAAUGCGGUUGAGGUAGGCGGAAUAUGUAAUGUAGCGGUGAAAUGCUUAGAUAUUACAUAGAACACCGAUUGCGAAGGCAGCCUACUAAGCCGCUAUUGACGCUGAGGCACGAAAGCGUGGGGAGCGAACAGGAUUAGAUACCCUGGUAGUCC
RNAcentral lists this ribosomal RNA (229 nucleotides) under uncultured bacterium. RNAcentral's name for it is "partial 16S ribosomal RNA". It matches the Rfam family "Bacterial small subunit ribosomal RNA", at positions 568 to 796 of the family's 1533-position model. The record is from RNAcentral.